GGACUUAGGUUAAACACACAAACCAGUAACCUUCAAAGCUACAAAUAAGAGCCCGAACCUCUUAGUCCCUG
RNAcentral lists this transfer RNA (71 nucleotides) under Lipinia relicta. RNAcentral describes it as "tRNA-Trp". It matches the Rfam family "tRNA". From Rfam's summary of the family: Transfer RNA (tRNA) molecules are approximately 80 nucleotides in length. Their secondary structure includes four short double-helical elements and three loops (D, anti-codon, and T loops). The record is from RNAcentral. Lineage: Eukaryota; Metazoa; Chordata; Lepidosauria; Squamata; Scincidae.